Small nuclear RNA from Octodon degus (degu), 107 nucleotides. NCBI's taxonomy places the organism in Eukaryota, Metazoa, Chordata, Mammalia, Rodentia, Octodontidae. The record is from Ensembl.
GUGCUCAGUUCAGUAACACCCAUACUAAAAUUGGAAUGAUACAGAGAAGAUUAACAUGGCCCUUGUGCAAAAAUGGCAUGCACACUUUAAAGUCUUACCCCAGCAGG